CUAUUUAAAUAUGUUGAAAGCAUGUCAUUUAUUUCAAUAAAUUUACAACAAAAUGUAUUCAGGGUUAUCAACAACUCAGUAUUCUUGUAACCAAAAUACAUUGGCGCACUGAACAGUUGAAGUGUUUGGCAUUCAGAACCUAUAAAGUGACUCAAAUAAUGUAGUGUGGUUAUUUUUCAUAACGUAGACACUCACAUACCUAUGCACGAAUCUGCAAAGUCGCUAGCCAAGCCAAUAUUUAAAGUUUUCCAUAAGGAAUUUCUCAUGCCAAAGCUAUUGAAGGCCGAGUUCUUUUGAUUCAGCUCAUCCUGCUAAGUGGAGACAUACUGCAAAGAGCGCCUGCAAGAAGGUAUUUUUCUAUUAAUGGACCGACUCCAGGGACUCGGCUAUCAGUUGCCAUCGAGAGGGACAGAGGGUCUUAUCGUGUGUCCUUGAAGGGGACUUAUUAUAUGCCCUCAAAAGGGUCUUGUUGUGGAGGCUAAAUCCUGGGAGUUACUGAUUCUGUGGCCUCGGAAGGGCUUUUAUGUUUGAGAAUCGAGUCCUAGAACUCAACGAUCUGGUGCCAUCGGAAGGGAUUUUUGGCUCACCCCCAAAGGGCUAUUUCUAUUCGCCCUCAUAAGUGUCUCUGUUUGUCCUCGGAAGCGUCUUUCUCAGACAUGGUACGACAGUCGAGAUGUUUGAGGUAAGUUUAGUGAAAAAAAAAAUAGGGCCAGUUACUCAUAAGACUGACGGA
Molecule: long non-coding RNA, 733 nt
Filed under: Zea mays
Lineage: Eukaryota; Viridiplantae; Streptophyta; Magnoliopsida; Poales; Poaceae
Description: drought responsive lncRNA
Source: RNAcentral